GGGGGCGUAGCUCAAUUUGGUUAGAGCAUCAGAUUGUCGAUCUGAGGGUUGCGGGUUCAAGUCCCGUCGCUCCCG
This 75-nucleotide transfer RNA is filed under the name Candidatus Omnitrophota bacterium. RNAcentral describes it as "tRNA-Asp". It matches the Rfam family "tRNA". From Rfam's summary of the family: Transfer RNA (tRNA) molecules are approximately 80 nucleotides in length. Their secondary structure includes four short double-helical elements and three loops (D, anti-codon, and T loops). Further hydrogen bonds mediate the characteristic L-shaped molecular structure. tRNAs have two regions of fundamental functional importance: the anti-codon, which is responsible for specific mRNA codon recognition, and the 3' end, to which the tRNAs corresponding amino acid is attached (by aminoacyl-tRNA synthetases). tRNAs cope with the degeneracy of the genetic code in two manners: having more than one tRNA (with a specific anti-codon) for a particular amino acid; and 'wobble' base-pairing, i.e. permitting non-standard base-pairing at the 3rd anti-codon position. Lineage: Bacteria; Pseudomonadati; Candidatus Omnitrophota. The record is from RNAcentral.